CCCAUACUUCUUCACCUUCUUUCAACAGUUCAUCUUCUUCCACUUUCCAUGGCCUUUUGUUAUCAAUUGGACAACUAGCAACGAUGAUCUUGUUCCUUCAAUUUACCAAUGACCACUUACAAUUCUCCUUCUUGUGUUCGAUCUUUUUGCUGCAGAUUUAAGGUUCAAUUUUUUCGAAUACCACUAAAUACAUACAAUUAAAUAUUGACUUCAUUUUUAGUAAUCCAAAUACUAGUAUCAGAUGUAAGAAUAAUAUCUUUCUUUUAUUUCACAUGAGUUAUUCUAAAUACUAAGUAUUUCAGAAUGUUUUUCGCAGUUGCUCAAACCGAAGACCUCUAACUGGAACUUUCUUUUCAAGCAGUAACCAACAACUAAAGAUUUUAGCAUCCCUUUUGAUAAUUAUGUUCAUAGUUUUCAGUAAAGUCUCCCGAUAACUAUAGGUUAUGUGGAUAUUCAUCAUCUUUAGAGAUUGCUGAACCGGUUUGCUUAUAUUUCUUAGUUGAACUCCAUCUAAACACCUAAAUAAUAUAUUACUCUAAAUGCAGAGCAGUCUCAUCCAAUGCACAUAUUAUUGUCUUGUUAUUUUCUAAUACCUAAUUCUUAAUAACAAUUUUUGGAUUCCACAAAAUAAUUAUAAACUAUAGAAGUUUUAAACUCACUGCUGCACUUGAUAGACACAGUAUCAUAUUGAUGGUAAUCAUGGUUCUCAUUCUAGGUGUUACUAAUUCAAUUAGACACAAACAAUUUCAAAUUUUCUUGAUUUGCUUUGCUACCUGUCUUCUCACCCAGUUGAAUACAUGAAUAAACACGAAUACAUCUUGAAUGAGAAACAAAUACAAAAUCAGAGACAAGAUGGUUGAUUUCGUACUUACCUCAGUAGGAAUAUGAGUGGAAAGGCUAAUGUUGCAGGUUGCACGACUGCAGCAUAACUGAGACUUUGAAAGUACCUAAUAAGACCUACAACUAUAUACGAACAAUUGAAACUAUGGAGGAAAAGCUUACAAUUUGAAACCCUAAUUCUGAUUUGAUGAAGGCUAUUCAGACAUAAUUCGAAGCUUCGCCGGUGACCGGAACACUGAA
Molecule: long non-coding RNA, 1080 nt
Filed under: Solanum tuberosum (potato)
Lineage: Eukaryota; Viridiplantae; Streptophyta; Magnoliopsida; Solanales; Solanaceae
Description: long non-coding RNA (STUB_LNC004539)
Source: RNAcentral